UGCGUAGGCGGAUAAAUAAGUCAGAGGUGAAAGCUCCCAGCUUAACUGGGGAACUGCCUUUGAUACUGUUUAUCUUGAAUUAUGUUGAGGUUAGCGGAAUGUGACAUGUAGCGGUGAAAUGCAUAGAUAUGUCAUAGAACACCAAUUGCGAAGGCAGCUAGCUAGGCAUAUAUUGACGCUGAGGCACGAAAGCGUGGGGAGCGAACAGGAUUAGAUACCCUGUAGUCC
This 228-nucleotide ribosomal RNA is filed under the name uncultured bacterium. Its description in RNAcentral is "partial 16S ribosomal RNA". It matches the Rfam family "Bacterial small subunit ribosomal RNA", at positions 568 to 796 of the family's 1533-position model. The record is from RNAcentral.